GAUGAAGAACGUAGCGAAAUGCGAUACUUGGUGUGAAUUGCAGAAUCCCGUGAACCAUCGAGUCUUUGAACGCAAGUUGCGCCCGAAGCCAUUAGGCCGAGGGCACGCCUGCCUGGGCGUCACACGUCGUUGCCCCCCCAUCUACUCCUUCGGGAUUGCGGGGGGCGGAUGAUGGCCUCCCGUGCGCCUCGCCGCGCGGUUGGCAUAAAUGCCAAGUCCUCGGCGACGCACGCCACGACAAUCGGUGGUUGCGAAACCUCGGUUGCCCGUCGUGGGCAGUCGUCGCGCAUCGAGGGCUCGAAAAAAUUGCCGGGUUCCGGCUCGGCUUUCAACGCGACCCCAGGUCAGGCGGGGUUACCCGCUGAAUUUAAGCAUAUCAAUAAGCGGAGGA
RNAcentral lists this unclassified non-coding RNA (391 nucleotides) under soil metagenome. Its description in RNAcentral is "partial contains 5.8S ribosomal RNA, internal transcribed spacer 2, and large subunit ribosomal RNA". The stretch from base 1 to 122 matches the Rfam family "5.8S ribosomal RNA", at positions 35 to 154 of the family's 154-position model. The record is from RNAcentral.